Molecule: ribosomal RNA, 411 nt
Filed under: Triticum aestivum (bread wheat)
Lineage: Eukaryota; Viridiplantae; Streptophyta; Magnoliopsida; Poales; Poaceae
Description: partial small subunit ribosomal RNA
Source: RNAcentral
AUGGUGUUGAUUUUUUGUUUGCAGUGCACUAUGGGCCACCCGUUAGGCAAAGUCAUGUUGGUGAUGGCUGAUGAAUAUCCUUCUGGAUGUGGCUGCGGUCGAGAGUCACUGGACUUAUCUAUGGAUGGAGUGAAGAUUCAGCAUCCUUUGUAUGGUUUAACUGUUCCUGGCGGUUUGAGUUUUUAUCUGCACACAGUUUUUUCAGUUUCUAGAGUCUUUUUUUUUAUGCAAUAUAUGUCUCUUGGGCAUCAAGAAAAAGGCCGACCUCUCCACCGUGGAAGAAAAGAAAUGGACAACUACUUCAGCUGGCUAGCACAAAAUACAUUUUACUCAAGAAAAAAGUGGUUCAUUUAUGCUGUUUUUAUUUCCUCCAUGAGCAUUUUUUAUUAUCUUGUAUCGCUGUUUCGCUAA